Molecule: ribosomal RNA, 451 nt
Filed under: uncultured bacterium
Lineage: Bacteria
Description: partial 16S ribosomal RNA
Rfam family: Bacterial small subunit ribosomal RNA
Source: RNAcentral
GCACCAGACUCCUACGGGAGGCAGCAGUGGGGAAUAUUGGGCAAUGGGCGCAAGCCUGACCCAGCAACGCUGCGUGAAGGAAGAAGGCUUUCGGGUUGUAAACUUCUUUUAAGAGGGAGGAGUAGAAGACGGUACCUCUUGAAUAAGCCACGGCUAACUACGUGCCAGCAGCCGCGGUAAUACGUAGGUGGCAAGCGUUGUCCGGAUUUACUGGGUGUAAAGGGCGUGUAGCCGGGUUGACAAGUCAGAUGUGAAAUCCUGCGGCUUAACCGCAGAACUGCAUUUGAAACUGUUGAUCUUGAGUAUCGGAGAGGCAGGCGGAAUUCCUAGUGUAGCGGUGAAAUGCGUAGAUAUUAGGAGGAACACCAGUGGCGAAGGCGGCCUGCUGGACGACAACUGACGGUGAGGCGCGAAAGCGUGGGGAGCAAACAGGAUUAGAUACCCUUGUAGG